This 407-nucleotide ribosomal RNA is filed under the name uncultured bacterium. RNAcentral's name for it is "partial 16S ribosomal RNA". It matches the Rfam family "Bacterial small subunit ribosomal RNA", at positions 28 to 526 of the family's 1533-position model. The record is from RNAcentral.
GACGAACGCUGGCGGCGUGCCUAAUACAUGCAAGUAGGACGCAGUUGCGAACGGGUGAGUAACGCGUAGGUAACUACCUAUUAGAGGGGGAUAACUAUUGGAAACGAUAGCUAAUACCGCAUACUAGUAGAUGGACCUGCGUUGUAUUAGCUAGUAGGUAGGGUAAAGGCCUACCUAGGCAACGAUACAUAGCCGACCUGGGAGGGGUGUCGGCCACACGUGGACUGGUGCACGGGCCAGACUCCUACGGUGGGCAGCAGUAGGGAAGUUUCGGCAAUGGGGGGAACCCUGACCGAGCAACGCCGCGGGAGUGAAGAAGGUGUGCGGAUCGUAAAGCUCUGUUGUUAAGGAAGCGGUACUUAAACAGAAAGGGACGGCUAACUACGUGCCAGCAGCCGCGGUAAUAG